AUUGAACGCUGGCGGCAGGCCUAACACAUGCAAGUCGAACGGUAACAGGAAACAGCUUGCUGUUUCGCUGACGAGUGGCGGACGGGUGAGUAAUGUCUGGGAAACUGCCUGAUGGAGGGGGAUAACUACUGGAAACGGUAGCUAAUACCGCAUAACGUCGCAAGACCAAAGAGGGGGACCUUCGGGCCUCUUGCCAUCGGAUGCGCCCAGAUGGGAUUAGCUAGUAGGUGGGGUAACGGCUCACCUAGGCGACGAUCCCUAGCUGGUCUGAGAGGAUGACCAGCCACACUGGAACUGAGACACGGUCCAGACUCCUACGGGAGGCAGCAGUGGGGAAUAUUGCACAAUGGGCGCAAGCCUGAUGCAGCCAUGCCGCGUGUAUGAAGAAGGCCUUCGGGUUGUAAAGUACUUUCAGCGGGGAGGAAGGGAGUAAAGUUAAUACCUUUACUCAUUGACGUUACCCGCAGAAGAAGCACCGGCUAACUCCGUG
This 490-nucleotide ribosomal RNA is filed under the name uncultured bacterium. RNAcentral's name for it is "partial 16S ribosomal RNA". It matches the Rfam family "Bacterial small subunit ribosomal RNA", at positions 30 to 507 of the family's 1533-position model. The record is from RNAcentral.